RNAcentral lists this unclassified non-coding RNA (576 nucleotides) under Zea mays. RNAcentral describes it as "misc RNA Zm00001eb392500". Lineage: Eukaryota; Viridiplantae; Streptophyta; Magnoliopsida; Poales; Poaceae. The record is from RNAcentral.
UGGGAGCGCUUCGUGGACGAGCUUCAGAAGGUGAAAGGUGUGAGGAUCGUGCAUGUGCCAAAGCAACACAAAGUGCUUAUGAUUGUCGGGUGGAAGUGUCAAAGAGGAACCAGGAGGUUGUUACCCUUGAUUGUCUCGAGCGUAUGUGGGUCACAAUGCGCUUCCAAGCAUCAAAGCUGCGGAGGCAGAAUGUUCAAGCCCAAGUUGUAGUUAUGAAUAGGGAGGCGGUCUAUCGUAUCGAGGAAGAGGAUAGACUACACGAUCGCAUUGGAGAUAUGUCUGAGAAGCUUGCGGUAGCUAAAGAGAAUCUCAUCGAAGUACAACAUUGCCUUGAGGGACUCAAAAGGGAACACACCAGCACAUGUUGAGGGCAGUGGACGUUGCACAUGAACGAUUCGGGACUUCACUCCGCUUUGAGCAUUUCGUGGACCGUGUUCGUGAACUCGAAGUGGAGACCUUUCGUCGGGGUGUCAACCAGACCUUUGUCAUUGCUAGAUCCCAUGAGGGAGGGAUCAACCUGGAAGCUCUGAGCGAAGAUUAUUGUGACAACUGGAGUGUCGCGGAACUCACAUAGAU